RNAcentral lists this ribosomal RNA (465 nucleotides) under uncultured bacterium. Its description in RNAcentral is "partial 16S ribosomal RNA". It matches the Rfam family "Bacterial small subunit ribosomal RNA", at positions 338 to 795 of the family's 1533-position model. The record is from RNAcentral.
CCUACGGGUGGCAGCAGUGGGGAAUAUUGCGCAAUGGGCGAAAGCCUGACGCAGCGACGCCGCGUGAGGGAUGAAGGUCUUCGGAUCGUAAACCUCUGUCAGCAGGGAAGAACGGUCACUGUGCUAAUCAGCAGUGAAUUGACGGUACCUGCGAAGGAAGCACCGGCUAACUCCGUGCCAGCAGCCGCGGUAAUACGGAGGGUGCGCGCGUUAAUCGGAAUUACUGGGCGUAAAGCGCUCGUAGGCGGUAUGUCAAGUCAAGGGUGAAAUCCCCGCGCUCAACGUGGGAACUGCCUUUGAAACUGGUAAACUGGAGUGUGUGAGAGGAUAGUGGAAUUCCAGGUGUAGGAGUGAAAUCCGUAGAUAUCUGGAGGAACAUCAGUGGCGAAGGCGACUAUCUGGAACAUAACUGACGCUGAGGAGCGAAAGCGUGGGUAGCAAACAGGAUUAGAUACCCUGGUAGUC